This is a long non-coding RNA of Triticum urartu, 1245 nucleotides long. RefSeq lists it as uncharacterized. The record is from RefSeq and is a predicted model, not a curated record. NCBI's taxonomy places the organism in Eukaryota, Viridiplantae, Streptophyta, Magnoliopsida, Poales, Poaceae.
AUUUCCUCAUCACCCACCUCCUCGAACCGCGAUUGAACCCUAGCCGUCACUCCCCGCCAGCCAUCCUCCCUGCCCGUCGGCCGCCGCCACGCCAUCACCGCCACCUACCCGACGCGUUGUGGAGGAAGCGACCAGAGAGGGAGGGCGUCGCCGGCGUGUGCGCGUGCUUCCACGGGUUCUCGUCGCGGUCGCCGGAGCCGUGGUCAACCGCGUCGGGGAGGAUGGGCGCCACAUCGCGGUCGCCGAAUCCGUUGGCUGCGAGUCCGGGCGCGUCGGAUCCGGUGGCUAUUAGGAGGCAGCGCUCGGAGGAGGUCGGACGCAAGAGGCCAGCGCGCGGAAGAGGCCGGGGCAUGGAGGCAGCGCACGGAGCUCAGUUGCGGCGACGAGCUGUGCUACUGCCUUGGCUACAACCUGGUAGGUUCAUCUCCAAUGGCAAAUCCAUAGCUUUGUGCUAAAGGUUCAGGCAGAUGGAAGCAUUAGCAAUUCCCUCGACGUAGCUCCCGAUUGGGCCUGAACCACAACCAGCUAAGGGGACAUUUCUACAGAUCGUUUCUAUCUGAUUUCCGACAUUUUCAGUUUUUGGAACACCCAGAAUGGAUAUAUUGAGUGUCCCUCUUGCUGCUAAACACAAUACAGUUGAGAUUAUGUCCCUACUGAGAUUCUUAAAGAACAUGGUACACCGGAAUAGCUUCAGAUCAAAGUAACUCAGCCGAUGGACCUUCUUAUCAUGAAACACCAUGGCAAUCGAGCUGUCGUCCGUCCAUCCCUCCCUCCUCGCGCCCGGAACCCUAGCUCGCGGCCAUGGCGACCGUGCAUGUCGCAGGCAGUGCAGGAUCUUCAGCACUACAAGUUGUGAUUUCUAUCACAUGUUUGUUUGAUACACAAGGUCCUUCCAUCAUGUACCCACCCACACAUGCAAAUGAAUUCGUUUGGUGGUUAUAUCUUGAGUGGCAUCUGAAUACACAAGCGUGACUAAUAGUAAGCGUGAGUGCUAGAGAAGUCCCCAUUUAGCAUGAUGGAGAGCAGGAUUGUCCCCAUUUGUAUUUGGUUCACACAGUUGUAGCUUCCUUUUUCUACGGGUUGCAAUGAUAUGGCUUGGUCGCGGCUUAGGCCAGACAGAGAUGAUCCAGUACUAAUUAAGCAUCAUUGAUAAAUAACAAGAGGGGCAUGUGAGGAGCUCUGUCUUGCUUGUAAUAGCUAAACUAUUGUUACCUACUUAAUGAGAUCCAUCGUCGAUCUGCUCUA